CCUACGGGAGGCUGCAGUGAGGAAUAUUGGUCAAUGGACGAGAGUCUGAACCAGCCAAGUAGCGUGAAGGAUGACUGCCCUAUGGGUUGUAAACUUCUUUUAUAUGGGAAUAAAACGUUCCACGUGUGGGAUUUUGUAUGUACCAUAUGAAUAAGGAUCGGCUAACUCCGUGCCAGCAGCCGCGGUAAUACGGAGGAUCCGAGCGUUAUCCGGAUUUAUUGGGUUUAAAGGGAGCGUAGGUGGAUUGUUAAGUCAGUUGUGAAAGUUUGCGGCUCAACCGUAAAAUUGCAGUUGAAACUGACAGUCUUGAGUACAGUAGAGGUGGGCGGAAUUCGUGGUGUAGCGGUGAAAUGCUGAGAUAUCACGAAGAACUCCGAUUGCGAAGGCAGUUCACUGGACUGCAACUGACACUGAGGCUCGAAAGUGUGGGUAUCAAACAGGAUUAGAUACCCCGGUAGUC
RNAcentral lists this ribosomal RNA (460 nucleotides) under uncultured bacterium. RNAcentral's name for it is "partial 16S ribosomal RNA". It matches the Rfam family "Bacterial small subunit ribosomal RNA", at positions 338 to 795 of the family's 1533-position model. The record is from RNAcentral.